UGUAUGGCCUUCUAAGCCUUGUA
This 23-nucleotide non-coding RNA is filed under the name Arabidopsis thaliana (thale cress). Lineage: Eukaryota; Viridiplantae; Streptophyta; Magnoliopsida; Brassicales; Brassicaceae. The record is from RNAcentral.